GUGUUGUUCAAUGAUAUUUUGUUAUUAAAAGAUAAAGAUGAAUAAGAGUAUUGGGAGCAUUUAAAGAAUUGUGUUCUUUGUCAUCUUCCUAUUAAUAAUUUUAUAUAUCGUGAAUUAACAAUUGUACCAAUUGAUCUUCCUUGUUUUGUAUGUGUUCACAAAAAAAAGGCUCCUACCAUGCUUUUAUGUGGUCAAUGCCAAUGUGGGUGGCAUAUGGCAUGUUUGAUACCACUUCUUUCAAAUCUUCCAAUAGAAGAUUAAAUUUGUCUU
Molecule: long non-coding RNA, 270 nt
Filed under: Physcomitrium patens
Lineage: Eukaryota; Viridiplantae; Streptophyta; Bryopsida; Funariales; Funariaceae
Description: long non-coding RNA (PPAT_LNC011143)
Source: RNAcentral